This 1097-nucleotide ribosomal RNA is filed under the name Hamamelistes kagamii. RNAcentral's name for it is "partial large subunit rRNA". Lineage: Eukaryota; Metazoa; Arthropoda; Insecta; Hemiptera; Hormaphididae. The record is from RNAcentral.
AUUUUGUUAAUUAAUAUUAAUUUUUUUUAUUUAGAUAUUUUAUAAAAGUAUUUUAAUUAUUUAUUGUUUUAGUAUUGAUUAAAAAUUAAUUGUGAGAUUUAUAGUUAAGUAGUAUUGUGUAAGAAAUUAAUAAUAUUUAAUAAAGAAUUUAUUUAGUACCUUUUGUAUCAGGGUUAAUUAAAAUUUUUAAUUUAUUUUAAUUUCUCAAAAUUUAUAGAGUUAGUUUUAUUAUUAAGUUAUUGUAGUAAAAAUAUUUAUAAGAUAAUACUAGUUUUGAAAUUUAAUUCGUUAUAUUAUAUUUAGUUAUUUAAGAUUUAAAUUUAAUUUAAAAUUUUAAAAGUUAAAUUGAUUUUUUUUAUUAAUAUUUUAAAUUUAAAUUAUUUUAGGGAUAAGCUUGAAAUUUUUAUAUAAUAUUUAUUUUAAUUUAAUAGUUUAUAGGAUUAGAAAUUUUUAUAUAAGUUUGUAAAAAUUUAUUAUUUAAUUAUAUUUUAAUUUAUUAUAAUUUGUUUAUUUUUUAUAUUAAAUUUUAUAAAUUAAUAUUUUAUUUAUAGUAAUAAUGAUUAAAUUAGUAUAUUUAAAAUUUAUAAAUUAUGAAUUCGGCAAAUUUUAUUUUCAUCUGUUUAACAAAAACAUUGUAUUAAGUUUAAUUUAAUAUAGGAUCUGCUCAAUGAUUAAAUUAAAUAGCUGCAGUAUUUUGACUGUGCAAAGGUAGCAUAAUAAUUAGUCUUUUAAUUGAGGACUAGAAUGAAAGAUUUGAUGAAAAAUAAGCUUUAUUAUUUAUAUAAUUAGAAUUUUAUUUUUAAGUAAAAAGGCUUAAAUAUUUUAAAGGGACGAUAAGACCCUAUAAAACUUUAUAAUUAUUAGUUUUUAAAUUUUUGGAUUUAUUAAUAUAUUUAUAUAAUAAUUUCUAUUUAUAUAUAAAUAAAUAUUUAAAUUUUAGUUAUUAUUUUAUUGGGGUGAUAAAAAAAUUUAAUGAACUUUUUUUAAAAUUUAACAUUAUUAAAUGAUUAUUUGAAUUAAAAUUUUUAAUUAUAGGAUAAAGUUACUUUAGGGAUAACAGCGUAAUUAAUUUUUUAAGUUCAAAUUUAAAAAUUAGU